This is a long non-coding RNA of Erinaceus europaeus (western European hedgehog), 813 nucleotides long. RefSeq lists it as uncharacterized. The transcript is spliced from 2 exons. The record is from RefSeq and is a predicted model, not a curated record. Lineage: Eukaryota; Metazoa; Chordata; Mammalia; Eulipotyphla; Erinaceidae.
AUUAAUUAAUUAAUUAAAAAAAAAGACUCACUUAUUUUCCUAGGAGCUCUGCCAGCCUGUCCAGCAUAAAGCUGACAGGAUUCUUAUGUUAGUAUUUCCUUUGCCGCUGUUCCUGUAUUUACCUGUAUUAUCCUUUUUUUUCUUUUCUUCAGGGAAGGUUAUCGCUGGGGCUCGGUGCCUACACUAUGAAUCCGCUGCUCCUGGAGUUCAUUUUCCCCAUUUUGUUGCCCUUGUUGUUGCCGUUAUUGUUACUGCUGUCAUUGCUGUUGUUGGAUAGGACAGAGAGAAAUGGAGAGAGGAGGGGAAGACAGAGGGGGAAAGACAGACACCUGCAGACCUGCUUCACCGCCUGUGAAGCGACCCCCUGCAGGUGAGGGGAGUCGGGGGCUCAGAUGGGAUCCUUACGCCGGUCCUUGCGCUUCUCGGCCUAUGGCUUAACCCGCUCCAGUAUCUCAUCUAGGCACUCAGCCAGAUAUGAACCACCUGGAGCCCCCCCUUAUUUUUAUGUUUAAAAAAUUUUAUCACAAGAUGGCUUUACCUGGGUGUUAAGCGGCUUCCUAACAGUACCGAAAAUCAUGGCCAAGAACAUAUUUCACAUAGCCAGCCAAAAAAACUUAAAGGCUAAAAAUAAAGCAAAACCAGUUACCACUAAUCUUAAAAAGCAGAAACAGCUGGUUCCACAAAAGUGUCACGAAAAUGAGCCAGCUAAUGUUGAUGAAGCCACAAGACUACUGGGUCAGCUGUGGUGUACUGGCGAUGGAUCGGGUUCCCCCAAAGACCAAUAAAUCAAAUGUUUUAUACAAAAAAAAAAAA